Molecule: ribosomal RNA, 253 nt
Filed under: uncultured bacterium
Lineage: Bacteria
Description: partial 16S ribosomal RNA
Rfam family: Bacterial small subunit ribosomal RNA
Source: RNAcentral
UACGUAGGGUGCAAGCGUUGUCCGGAUUUACUGGGCGUAAAGAGCGCGCAGGCGGUCGCUCAAGUCGCGUGUGAAAGCCCCCGGCUCAACUGGGGAGGGUCACGCGAUACUGAUCGACUGGAAGGCAGGAGAGGGUAGUGGAAUUCCCGGUGUAGUGGUGAAAUGCGUAGAUAUCGGGAGGAACACCAGUGGCGAAGGCGACUACCUGGCCUGUUCUUGACGCUGAGGCGCGAAAGCUAGGGGAGCAAACGGG